This 434-nucleotide ribosomal RNA is filed under the name uncultured bacterium. RNAcentral describes it as "partial 16S ribosomal RNA". It matches the Rfam family "Bacterial small subunit ribosomal RNA", at positions 29 to 507 of the family's 1533-position model. The record is from RNAcentral.
AGCGAACGCUGGCGGCAGGCCUAACACAUGCAAGUCGAACGAACCUUUCGGGGUUAGUGGCGGACGGGUGAGUAACACGUGGGAACGUGCCUUUAGGUUCGGAAUAACUCAGGGAAACUUGUGCUAAUACCGAAUGUGCCCUUCGGGGGAAAGAUUUAUCGCCUUUAGAGCGGCCCGCGUCUGAUUAGCUAGUUGGUUGAGGUAAUGGCUCACCAAGGCGACGAUCAGUAGCUGGUCUGAGAGGAUGAUCAGCCACAUUGGGACUGAGACACGGCCCAAACUCCGAGGGGAGGAAGCAGGGGGGAUUCUUGCAAAAGGGGGAAAGGCCGGACGCACCCAGGCCGGGGGAAGAAAAAGGGUUUAAGGAUGAAAAAUUUUUUCCCCGGGGGAGGAUAAGGACGGCCCCCGGAAAAAAGCCCCCGGCAAAUUUGGUC